RNAcentral lists this long non-coding RNA (8631 nucleotides) under Phoenix dactylifera (date palm). RNAcentral describes it as "long non-coding RNA (PDAC_LNC001753)". The record is from RNAcentral. Lineage: Eukaryota; Viridiplantae; Streptophyta; Magnoliopsida; Arecales; Arecaceae.
GUUUGAGUCCUAAUUUUGGAUCCAGACCCAACCCAAUAAAAGAUCAGGUCGGAUCGGAUCUACUGUUAUAUGUUUUAACCCAACGGAUCAUUCGGGUCGGAGAGGGUCCAUGUAUAACCCAUACCAAAUCCAAAAAAUUUGGGUCCGGUUUGGGUCAAACCAUCUAUGACUUUAGAACUUGUUUGCAUCAUUGUGGGCUGCAUCUCACAAGCCUAAAUAAUUUUAUAAAUUUGGGUCGGGUUGGGAUGGGUUGUAGGAUUGAAAACUCAAAAUUAUCCAAAUUUCAAAUGAGUCGGGUUGGAUCGGGUCGGGUCUGAUUUCAGUAAACUCAGAUCCGACCCAGAAAAUGGAACGAAUCCAAUUUUAGGACCCAACUUGGCCCACGGGUCCUCCAAAAUGGGUCGGGUUGGGUCUAAGCGGGUCGGGUUGGGUCGGGUCGGGUCGGGUCGGGUCACGAGUCAAUGCGACCCAUUUGUAGCCUUAAUAAAAAUAUACUCAAAUAUAUAUGUAUAUGUUUGCAUGCAAAAUGAUGUAUUUAGACGGCUCUCAAUAAUUUUUUUUAUCAAUACAAAUAGGUUGUAGUCUAAAAAGAAAAAAAUCUGUAUCAGAUAUUGAACAUAUGUAUAUCGGAUGUUUAUUAUCUGUCUCAUACUUAUAUCUAGAAAAAAAAAUCAUCAGAUGGGCCUAAAUGGGUAGCAUUCUGUUUUUUUUUUUCAAAAAAAAACUUUCCUCGUAAAAGCAAAAACUAAAGUCUUAGGUUUGGAAAGUGUUGAACCAGCCGGUAUAGAGGUGAAACCUGCCAACAUGCAACCAAAUACCAUCCCUUCUUAUAUAAGUCCCCUUUGACUAUUGCUAGGAGAUUUGGAUUCUGUUUUCAAAAUGAAGGCAGGACAAGCACAUGACCACCCACCCAUGUAGAUCGUGGUCCUUAAUCUUCCAAUUGCACGAGAACAAAAAUGAGUCUCAUUGGGUAUAUGGUUUGAAAUUUUGACCUAAACCCAACUCAAAUGUCAUAUCAAACAAGGCCUAAAUAAGCUUUAGGUCCAGUAUAAGGAUAUAAUCACUCUAGAAAGAACGCUAGAUCAAAUCUCCUUUCACUGGCAUGCUGAUGUUAAUUAGGCCUGUGUCAAAAUUUAAUCCAUACACUCCAAAGCCAACUUUCCAGGGUUUUUUCCCUUCCUACUGGAUUUUAGCUCGUGCUCCUUCCGUCAGCUCUGCCAUCAGCUCCAGGUAUAUAUAUCUUUAUAUAUAUAUAUAUAUAUACACACACACACACAUAUACUUAUCAAGCUAUGCUCAAUUCCAACCAGAAAUUCUCCUGCCAGUUCUCACUCCUCAGAAUAUCGGAAUCUUCGACGUACUUUCUCCCCCAAACCAAGCUUCCCUAAGAAACCUUCCCAUAUUCUUUCCUGGUAAAUGUGAGCGAAAAUGUACACGUUGCUUCUCUCACUCCACCUACCAUCGUAAACCCUAAUUACGAACCAUAAGUGGAAAGUUCCAAAUAGGCUUAAAUAAAGUGUUUCCCUGAUAUCGCAGUUCUUCUAAAGCAAUCUUUUGUUCGAUCCUCUUCAAUGGGUUGUCAGUCCAGCAAGCCCGACCAAGCGAUCGUUGUAAGCUCGAUCGACGCUAUCAGAGCAGUUCGACUUGAUGAUACGUACCCGCUCGUGGAGGAGCUCCGAUCCCUUGGCGUCGCUUCCGGCCUCCACCCGGUCUCCCAGGCCGUCUCCGGCGCACCUGAGCUCAAGGAGGCAAUCUCGAAGAACCCCGGCCUCCAAUCCUUUGUAAAUGACCACCUCAACGUUGUCAUCACGACGCUGAGGUCUCUCGCCAGGGUCAGAGGCCUUCUCGACAAGUCCCGCGGAAUUUCAUCUUCUGUCGGCGCGGCUCUCGAAGGCUUCGAGAAGGAGAAUGCCGAAAGAAGGAAUGACAAGAAGGAGAAGAAGAAGAAGAAUAAGAAGAAGAAGACGAAGAUCACCAACAAGUGCUCGGAGGUGGUGGAAAAGUUGAAGGGGUCGAGGGCGUUGGGCGACCCGUUCGCGGGCCUAAACACCGAUGAGCUACGGCCGGCUUGCGAAUGGCAGCGGUCGCUGCUGGACGCGCUGCGUCGAAGGCAUCGCGAGCUCGAGAAGAGGCUGAGAUCGGUCAAGAAGUGGAGGAAGGCUUGGAAUGUCAUCUACACGGCAGGGUUCGUGGCGGUCUUAGCCUGCUCGGUGGUGCUCGCGGCUGUGGCGUCACCGGCUGCCGCCGUCACAGGAGCCACGGCAUGUGCCACUGCCAUGAAGGCUGUCGAGCCGUGGAUCAACUCGGUGUGCGACGAGCGCGAGGGCUCGUUGCAGGGGGAGAAGGAUGUUAUAGCGACGAUGCGAAGAAAGGGUGGGUUUGCAGUGCAUGACUUGGAGAACGUAAGGUCGAUUGUUGAGAAGUUAAAGAUUGACAUCGAUGCGAUGUUGGAUCGUGUUGACUUUGCAAUCAGCAAGGCGGAGGAUGGGGAGGAGAUGGCGGUCAAGAUUGGGAAUGAGGAUAUUAUGGCAAAGAAGGGGGACGUUGAUAAAGGUGUUGAUACUUUGAAGGAGAAGUUGGAUUCGUCUGAGCGUGAGAUUAUGAGGGCGGCAGCUGAGUUCUUGGAGACCAUAAUGAAGGACAUCUAGGUCUUGACCCAGAUGCCUGUUUUGUCUCUCUCUCUCUCUCUCUCUCUCUCAAGAGAACACUAAUUUUAGAUGGCCACCCUUUAAUUCGAUUAUGGAGAUGGAUAGCUAUCAAAUAGAGCACGGUAUACAAUAUGAAGAACAAGCUAUCUAGGGCAUGCAAUGUUCCAUCCAUGAUCAGAUUACGUGGUGUCUGUCUAGUGUUGUACCAUUCUGUAUCGUGCAAGUUGGCAAAGGAUCCAAAAUCCUAGGUGUUUUCAGUUUGUAAAGAUGUGUGAGGUCUUUUUAUUUCGAGCAAAUAUAAAGUUAGAGAGUUUUUUUUUGGUUUGUUUUUCUGAUGCUAAUUAGAAUGCGUGGUGCAGAACUUAGAAAGAACCCUAGCUUGCUUCCUUUCUCUUACGCGCAUCCAUGCAUGUUAUCACUUUAUUUCUAUGAGGACAAGACUUCAUAGGUUUGUACUAUUGUUGACUAAAGAUUCAGAGAAUCUUAGAAUAUCAAUGAUUGUGGAACCAAGUGUUGACUCUAUAUAAACAUAAAUUCAAGUAACAUGGAAAUCCCUUUUUUUCUUCAUUGGUAAGUACAUAAAAACUUUUAGUUACCAAGAUAACUAAAGCUAUGCGGCUAAUGUAAGAGCAGUAAAAGCUCUUAUUAACAAAUGAUUAGAUUUGAACACUAUAAAUCUUAGGAAUGGUUUUCUUUAAUUGGUACUUUCUCCAAAAUUUAUUAUCUACAUGCAUCCUUCCAACAUUAAUAAUAAAACCCUGAUAAACUAAAGGAUUGAAGGGUACUGCCUUAGGAGUCCUCGAAGAGACUAGUCAGACAUUGUAUGCGGCCAUGUGCAUGGAUGCACCUAUACGUACUCGGCAUAUUUGUUCUUAUGAUAAAUUCCCCCAAUCACCAUUCACUUUUUUCACGAAACCCAGGUUAUUUUUUCAAGGUGAUUUUUCUGAGUUCCCAUAGCAGUGAACUUAAUUAAGCUUGCAUAGUUGGUAAUUGGCGAGAAUCUAGACUUUAUUUGCAGUGUAUUAGAUAUGAUUAGAAUUCAAGUAAUAAAAGAUAAAUGGAAAAGGCUCGAAUAAGUGUCUAUUCUAAUUACUGCAGUCAUUGCAUCAUGAAUCUCCAUGUAAAUAUUCUCUUUUAAUUAUAAAUGGGUGGACUUAUCCUCUCUUUCCAUCCAAAAGAAAAGUCUACUCUUGGGCGUGCCGUGGAUUUUUUUUUUCAACAAAAAAAAUUGAAAUCAUGAAACAGCUAUUGUGAAACCUUUUCGUAGUUAUUCACCACCACAAUCAAAGGAAAACAAAAUAUCUUGUAACACAAAUACGUUCCACAAUUGAAAGGGCCACUGCUAGCUUGAAGUGUGGAAUCUUCAGAGUACGUGCAUGGAAACUCAGAGGAGAUAUGUAUGAAUGGAGAGGGUGCUAUUACAUCAAGGCUUCUAAUAAAACUAUGCUUCCAUGUACUCUCAUGGAAAUUGAGGGGAAUAGUUGACCACAAAAUUGAUAAUGAUGCCUAUCCUUAAAGUGACACCGCGUAAUGAAGAGAUCAGAUGGUUCAGUGGCAUUUCGUGGAAGGUGUAAGGUGAAAAAUGUCAAACACCUGAUCUCACGUCACUGCUGAGCAAGCAAGAAGCUUGGGGCCUUGCCUCCACCUACAAUCCAGAUUAAAGAAUGAUUUAAUUGGUAUCUAACGAGUUACAAGAGUUUGCAGCAAAGUUUGCCGAACCAUCUGAUUUAAGAUGUAUCGAAUCAAAUUGGUGCAGAAUCGGGAUGAUUCAGCCCUUCAAAGUAGGAUGCUGUCUUUUCUUCAAAAAAAAGAAAGAAGGAUAAUGGAUAAAUUAGUCUAAACCAAGCCAAAUCAACUUAUUCUGUCUGGUUUCGAGCGGUAAUAUUCUCGUUAUAGAUAACUUCCUCCUUCCAUCUUGAUCUUGACCCCUAACCCUUACUUUGGCUCUCUCCUGAUCACUCUGAUCCCCUUGCCUCACCCUCCUCUUGAGUCCCUCCUCAUCUUUUGGUGACAACAAUAAUUGAUGACUCCCUGAUCCCUCUCUCCCCCCCUCCAAUCUCCAUGUCUCAAACUCUUCCGAGUCCUUGUUUUCUCGCGACCAGGACGAAUUGAUGCACUAGAUCAAGAGCUGAAAUAGCAACUUAGAAACUAAUGUAAUAGACUAGGAGCUGAUAUAGCAGCUUAGAGGCUGACGUGGUGGUAGAUCAAGAGCUUGAUGUGGCAGAAUACGAGCUGUUAUAGCAGCUCAGAAGCUGAUGUAACAGAUUAGAAGUUGGUAUAACAACUUAAAAGCCGAUAUGGAAGACUGAUGUGUCUGAUUGACGUGACAGACUGACAUGUCUGUUGAUGUGGCUAAUUGACUUAUCUAAUGAUAUGACAACGAGAAGACAUAUAGAAGUUGAUAGUUGUAGUGAGGACAGAGCUUAGAGAGAAGACAACCGAAGAUCAACGAUCCUUGUAGACGGAGGCAUCAUGGAAGCGAAGCAUUGGUUGAUUGACUUGUAAGAUGAUGUGGCAGCGAGAAGGCAUAUAAAAUAUAACAGUUGCAGUGAGGACAAAGUUCAGAGCGAAGGCAACGGAAGGUCGAUGAUUCUCGUAGAGGAGCAAAAGACUUCGAACUAGAUGGUAAAAGAACCGGAGGCAACAAAUAAAAUCGAAGAUGGAGAGAAAGAAGCCGGGCGACAAUGUAGAGAGUCAACUGAAGAUCUAAAGCCGAGGAGAAAAGUGAUGGAGAGAAGCUAGGAAUCCAUUAGAAAAUAAUGGAUCUUCGAAUGUUAAUCUACCGAAAAUAGAGAAAAUACAGAUCUAGUAGGGGAAUAUGAGAACUUCGAAUGUUAAUUCACUAAUAAAUAGAGGAUCUAUAGAAAAACAAAGGAUCUGCGAAUCUACCAGAAAAUAAAGAAUCUUCAGAUGUUGAUUCAUCAGAAAACAGAGGUCAAUAAAUCGACAAUAGGGAUUUUCACAGCUUUUAGACAAGGCAAUGACGACCAUAGCAAAGACGAAAGAAAUAGCCACAACAGAUUAGGUGAUCGGAGGUUCUGAUACUAUAUUAAAAUAUUUGUAGAAGAAGAGAGAAAUAAAAAAAGAGAGAAAAAUAAUUUUAUUUCUCCAUUCCAUAUAUUCGAUACAUCUCGGGCUUAUAUAUACUUGUCUACAGACUCCAUGCAAAAAAAAUAAUAUACGCUGAUAUAAAAUCAUGCUAAUAAAAAAAAUAAUACUCGUUGAUACAAGUUGUACGUGAUUUCUAAAAUCACUCUAAUAAGAUCAUGCUAACAAAGAAAAAUGAUACUGGCCGAUACAAGAUCACACUAAUAAAAAAAUAAUACUGACCAAUACGAGAUCACGCUAGCAAUAAAAAAUAAUAUGGGCUAAUAUAGGUUGUUACGUGAUCUCUAAAAUUAUACUAAUAUUGCGUAACACUGUUUUAUAAUACAAUACUAUGCUAACCUAGUAUAUGAUCAAGAUUGAUUGCAACAAUAGUACCUUGAAUCUAAUUUUCCUAGGUUAACUUACAUAUUAAUUUAUUCUUGGCCUUGGCUAGGAUUGGAAUUGGGCUCAGGCCAGGCCGACUUUGGGUCGGGCUACGGGCUAGGCCCCGAAAGAUUUUGGACAGUAUUUGGGCUUAAAUAUAGAGCCCAUAUAUUUUUCAAGCGGGGCUUUGUUAUAUUAUUGGCCUACCUUGAGCUCGAGCCUAGACGAGGCUCAAAAUGGAGCCUGAACUCAAGCCCGAAAUGGAGCCCGAACUUAAGUACUUGUUUAUGAACUGUUUAGAAAAUAAGAAUGCCAUUUCCAAUUGUGUUAUCAAUUCAUUUUUCUGGUAAACAUGUCUCUGAUUAUUAGAUGGUGGCUAACAUAAAGCUACAAUAUUUCAUCAAACAAAAUGUGAAGCUACAUUAUGAAAGGUUUUGAAAAAUUAAACUCAAUUAGGUUUAGCCCGGCCCAGUUUUUAGUCAAAACAGAUAAUUCGAACCGGUCCAAUCGCGUUUAGAUCGAGUCCGGGCUUGGGCUUGGGUCAAGCUCGGGUCUGAAUUUUCCAAAAGCUUUUGAGCCUAAGCUCAGCCGAAAUCUCGACAAAAAUUCAGGCUAGAUUGGGGUAGGGGAGCUUCCCGACCUAUUUCUAGCCCUAGCCUUGACUAUAGUAGUCUGUGCUUGAAUCUUGUGUAGCCAUGGAUGAACUAGACUCUCUUGUGCCCUUCUAAAACGUCCCUGUUGCUAGAUACAUUGCUUAUCAGCCAUGUCAAAUCUCAGGAGAUCUAUAUUAGUUUUGAAGGGCACCUACUCUAUCAAGAGAAGCAGAGCCAUAGGGCUACAAUAUACAUUAUUAAUAACUUUUUCACCUUGCAUUUGUAUUUUCCUCCCCUCUCUCCCUCUCCGUUACCUUCCAUUAGCUCACGUUGACUCAAAAUAAAAUCUUAGCCUACACGACGAAAUUUCAACAGAUAAGCACCUUCUGUUACUUGAUGAUGAUGGCGAAGCCUUUAGAUUGGAUGCUUAAGGAAAUUGCAGGGGAACCUAACUAGAUGGCGCAGGUCUUGUUAGAGACAAAAUUAAAUUUUCCUUGUAAAUUCGUGGAAAUUGAGAGGCAUAAGCAAGGGCACCCAAACUAAGAGAGCAUGGUAGCCGCCCAAUUUUUUGCUUGAUCUCUCGCUGUACAUAGGCCGGAGGUCGUAGGCUUCAUGUCUCUAACAAAUGAGUUUCCUUUGACUCUGCUGGUAGUACUGAUGCUAUGCUGACGUGAGCUACCGUUGUACUAAAAAAAAGAGAACAAAUGAGUUUAUGUCGACAUGUUAACAAAUAAGCCAGAUGAUUUCGUGUUAUUUCGUAGAAUCUUCGGGGCAUAAAGCUCCAGCAUCCUUUCCCCUCCUCCAAUUUUUAGGUUUUAGAGUCCGGGAUCUGCAACUCAGAUCAGAAGAAGGUUUAUGUUUCAACUAGACUGCAUUUAGGACACGUGUUGAGGAACAUGUAUCGAAAUAAAGGUGUUAUUGUAAAAACCAGUCCUUAGAAUUUAAGAACCUAUUUGGAUAAUCCUGCUGAAUACGAGGCUUGAUCCAGCCCAUGUCAGCCGGACCUCUUCCAGCCAAUUUCCUCGCGAAGGGAUGAGAGAAAAAAAAGAAAUCUGCGAAGAAUUUUCCCCCUCUAUAACACUUCUGAAGCUAAUUCCUGUGAAUCCUAUAAAUAUAGGCUUGGCCCAACUUAUGCCUUCUACGUACGUUGCUGGAUUGCACAGGAUUAUCCAAACAGCAACCCAACCCACAACUAAUAUGCAAGAAAGUCUUGUGGGCCCAAUUUAAACUAGAUACAGCUUUGGGCCUAAAGUGGCUUGGGCCGGCCGUGGGUCCCAAGAUGCCGAUGACAUCGUGCCGGCGGAGUUGGCCAUGAUGGUUCACAGACUCCAUGGGCCUCCCUCACCACUGUGGAUCUUAGUUUAAUUUCAUUUCUGUGUUUCUGUUCGACAUUUUGCUUCCUGUUGAUUUUUUGCCUCUGUCCUUCCCCUCUGUUUGAUUUUGUUGCUGUGUAAGAUUUUACAUUUUAAAUAUAUUGUAUAUAAUAGAUGCGAACUAAAAUAUGUCUUCCAUCCCCACUAACUUCUAUAGGAGCUUUGUCUUCCAUCCUCACUAAUUUCUGUCGGGGCUUCAAGGAAGUUGUCCCCGGCCCAUAUUUGUUCCAACAUGUAUACUAUUUGAAUAAUUUUAGAAAUCAUGUAACAAUAUGUAUCAAUUUAUAUUAUUAUUUUUUUGUUAGCGUGAUCCUGUAUCAAUAACUAUUAUUUGUCUUUGUUAUCAUAAUCUUGAUAAUAACUUAUAUCGGCAAGAAAUUUACACGCACAUUAUCUACUAAAUGACCGCCUCAAGUUAGCGUUUCUUAGUUUAGAUAAUCUUGUAUCCAAUUACACCUUACCAGGGUUGGUUCACACGUUGCUUAAGUUGAGUGGAUGCCACGCGUUGUAUUUAUUUUGCAUCUCCUUCCACUCGAUCCCCCCGUC